UGGGGAAUAUUGCACAAUGGAGGGAACUCUGAUGCAGCGACGCCGCGUGAGUGAUGAAGGAAUUCGUUUCGUAAAACUCUGUUCUAUGGGAAGAAAAGGACUGUACCAUAGGAGAAAGCUCCGGCUAAAUACGUGCCAGCAGCCGCGGUAAUACGUAUGGAGCGAGCGUUGUCCGGAAUUAUUGGGCGUAAAGGGUGCGCAGGCGGCUUUACAAGUUGGAUGUGAAAUAUUGUGGCUCAACCACAAACGUGCAUCCAAAACUGCAAAGCUUGAGUUAAGGAGAGGUAAGUGGAAUUCCUUGUGUAGCGGUGGAAUGCGUAGAUAUCAGGAGGAAUACCGGUGGCGAAGGCGACUUACUGGACUUAAUCUGACGCUCAGGCACGAAAGCGUGGGGAGCAAACAGG
This 404-nucleotide ribosomal RNA is filed under the name Fusobacteriota bacterium. RNAcentral's name for it is "Fusobacteria bacterium partial 16S ribosomal RNA". It matches the Rfam family "Bacterial small subunit ribosomal RNA", at positions 355 to 776 of the family's 1533-position model. The record is from RNAcentral. Lineage: Bacteria; Fusobacteriati; Fusobacteriota.